This 650-nucleotide long non-coding RNA is filed under the name Elaeis guineensis (African oil palm). Its description in RNAcentral is "long non-coding RNA (EGUI_LNC076891)". The record is from RNAcentral. Lineage: Eukaryota; Viridiplantae; Streptophyta; Magnoliopsida; Arecales; Arecaceae.
UUGACCUGAGAUGAUACUACUGCUCGUAGUGAGGCUACUGGAGUUUGACUGACACAUCAAUAUGGAUCUCAAAGAGCUCUUGUAGUGGAUGUUGGUGAUAGUUGAUCCACUGUAGGAGUGGGGUAUGCAUCAAGAUGGAAUCUAUCGAUCCUAGCAGAAAGGAGUAGUCCUAUAGGAUUUAAGAGGCUAAGUCCUUAAGUCUAUGGCCAUAGCAGUGUGAUUGAUGGAAAAGAGUUUUCAGAGAAUCACAUAUGAACUUAAGCUGAUUGAAUUUAUCAUAUGACCGAUGUUGAGGUUUGACGAUUUAUCUAUGACCUACCAUCUAGUCGGAACUCACGAUAGAGGGACUGAAUUAUAUGUUAACUACACCUAAAAAUUUAUUUCAGUUCUACUGGAUUGCCACUACAUACUGCUAGGUGUCACUAGUAGAUUGUGAGAGCUCACUGGGGUUGUUCUAGAUUGACAAUUCUUGUUGAGUUAAAGUGAAAUUAUUCCGAUCCAUUAAAAAAAGUUUUAAUGAUACAAUAAUAGAGAUCAUUGUAUGUCUCACUACUAGAUAAAAUUAAACCUAUGAGUCACACAACAAAAGAAUUAUGACUAGAAUAAGAAAUUAAGCUUAUAAAGUAUCAAUUGGGUUUAGAGAAACCCAU